CUAGUUGGUGGGGUAAAGGCCUACCAAGGCAACGAUCCGUAGCGGGUCUGAGAGGAUGAUCCGCCACACUGGAACUGAGACACGGUCCAGACUCCUACGGGAGGCAGCAGUGGGGAAUUUUGGACAAUGGGCGCAAGCCUGAUCCAGCCAUGCCGCGUGAGUGAAGAAGGCCUUCGGGUUGUAAAGCUCUUUCGGCCGGGAAGAAAUCGCAUGGGCGAAUACCCUGUGUGGAUGACGGUACCGGCAUAAGAAGCACCGGCUAACUACGUGCCAGCAGCCGCGGUAAUACGUAGGGUGCGAGCGUUAAUCGGAAUUACUGGGCGUAAAGCGUGCGCAGGCGGUUUGGUAAGUCAGAUGUGAAAGCCCCGGGCUCAACCUGGGAACGGCAUUUGAGACUGCCAAGCUGGAGUAUGGCAGAGGGGGGUGGAAUUCCACGUGUAGCAGUGAAAUGCGUAGAGAUGUGGAGGAACACCGAUGGCGAAGGCAGCCCCCUGGGCCAUGACUGACGCUCAUGCACGAAAGCGUGGGGAGCAAACAGGAUUAGAUACCCUGGUAGUCCACGCCCUAAACGAUGUCAACUAGGUGUUGGGAGGGUUAAACCUUUUA
This 606-nucleotide ribosomal RNA is filed under the name uncultured bacterium. RNAcentral's name for it is "bacterial SSU rRNA". It matches the Rfam family "Bacterial small subunit ribosomal RNA", at positions 245 to 842 of the family's 1533-position model. The record is from RNAcentral.